GCUCAGGAUGAACGCUAGCUACAGGCUUAACACAUGCAAGUCGAGGGGCAGCAUUUUAGUUUGCUUGCAAACUGAAGAUGGCGACCGGCGCACGGGUGAGUAACACGUAUCCAACCUGCCGAUAACUCCGGAAUAGCCUUUCGAAAGAAAGAUUAAUACCGGAUAGCAUACGAAUAUCGCAUGAUAUUUUUAUUAAAGAAUUUCGGUUAUCGAUGGGGAUGCGUUCCAUUAGUUUGUUGGCGGGGUAACGGCCCACCAAGACAACGAUGGAUAGGGGUUCUGAGAGGAAGGUCCCCCACAUUGGAACUGAGACACGGUCCAAACUCCUACGGGAGGCAGCAGUGAGGAAUAUUGGUCAAUGGGCGAGAGCCUGAACCAGCCAAGUAGCGUGAAGGAUGAAGGCUCUAUGGGUCGUAAACUUCUUUUAUAUGGGAAUAAAGUUUUCCACGUGUGGAAUUUUGUAUGUACCAUAUGAAUAAGGAUCGGCUAACUCCGUGCCAGCAGCCGCGGUAAUACGGAGGAUCCGAGCGUUAUCCGGAUUUAUUGGGUUUAAAGGGAGCGUAGGUGGAUUGUUAAGUCAGUUGUGAAAGUUUGCGGCUCAACCGUAAAAUUGCAGUUGAAACUGGCAGUCUUGAGUACAGUAGAGGUGGGCGGAAUUCGUGGUGUAGCGGUGAAAUGCUUAGAUAUCACGAAGAACUCCGAUUGCGAAGGCAGCUCACUAGACUGUCACUGACACUGUUGCUCGAAAGUGUGGGUAUCAAACAGGAUUAGAUACCCUGGUAGUCCACACAGUAAACGAUGAAUACUCGCUGUUUGCGAUAUACAGUAAGCGGCCAAGCGAAAGCAUUAAGUAUUCCACCUGGGGAGUACGCCGGCAACGGUGAAACUCAAAGGAAUUGACGGGGGCCCGCACAAGCGGAGGAACAUGUGGUUUAAUUCGAUGAUACGCGAGGAACCUUACCCGGGCUUAAAUUGCAACAGAAUAUAUUGGAAACAGUAUAGCCGUAAGGCUGUUGUGAAGGUGCUGCAUGGUUGUCGUCAGCUCGUGCCGUGAGGUGUCGGCUUAAGUGCCAUAACGAGCGCAACCCUUAUCUUUAGUUACUAACAGGUGAUGCUGAGGACUCUAGAGAGACUGCCGUCGUAAGAUGUGAGGAAGGUGGGGAUGACGUCAAAUCAGCACGGCCCUUACGUCCGGGGCUACACACGUGUUACAAUGGGGGGUACAGAAGGCGGCUACCUGGUGACAGGAUGCUAAUCCCAAAAACCUCUCUCAGUUCGGAUCGAAGUCUGCAACCCGACUUCGUGAAGCUGGAUUCGCUAGUAAUCGCGCAUCAGCCAUGGCGCGGUGAAUACGUUCCCGGGCCUUGUACACACCGCCCGUCAAGCCAUGAAAGCCGGGGGUACCUGAAGUACGUAACCGCAAGGAGCGUCCUAGGGUAAAACUGGUAA
This 1449-nucleotide ribosomal RNA is filed under the name uncultured organism. Its description in RNAcentral is "SSU rRNA". It matches the Rfam family "Bacterial small subunit ribosomal RNA". The record is from RNAcentral.